This 495-nucleotide ribosomal RNA is filed under the name uncultured bacterium. RNAcentral's name for it is "bacterial SSU rRNA". It matches the Rfam family "Bacterial small subunit ribosomal RNA", at positions 903 to 1397 of the family's 1533-position model. The record is from RNAcentral.
AAAGGAAUAGACGGGGGCCCGCACAAGCAGCGGAGCAUGUGGUUUAAUUCGAAGCAACGCGAAGAACCUUACCAGGGCUUGACAUCCCGAUGACCGGUAUAGAGAUAUACCUUCCCUUCGGGGCAUCGGAGACAGGUGGUGCAUGGUUGUCGUCAGCUCGUGUCGUGAGAUGUUGGGUUAAGUCCCGCAACGAGCGCAACCCCUAUUUUUAGUUGCCAUCAUUUAAGGUGGGCACUCUAAAGAGACUGCCGGGGACAACUCGGAGGAAGGUGGGGAUGACGUCAAAUCAUCAUGCCCCUUAUGUCCUGGGCUACACACGUGCUACAAUGGUCUGUAACAAAGGGAAGCGAAGGCGUAAGCCGGAGCGAAUCCCAGAAACCAGAUCCCAGUUCGGAUUGUGGGCUGCAACCCGCCCACAUGAAGUCGGAGUUGCUAGUAAUCGCGAAUCAGCAUGUCGCGGUGAAUACGUUCCCGGGCCUUGUACACACCGCCCGU